GGAGUGAGGGGAGCAGCUGGACCAAGAUGGCGGCCGCCGACGGACCUGCGUGCGACGGCGAGCUGUGGCAGACCUGGCUUCCUAACCACGUCGUGUUCUUGCGGCUCCGGGAGGGACUGAAAAACCAGAGUCCAGCCGAAGCUGAGAAACCAGCUUCUUCGUCGUUGCCUUCUUCGCCGCCGCCGCAGUUGCUGACGAGAAACGUGGUCUUUGGCCUCGGCGGAGAGCUCUUCCUGUGGGACGGAGAAGACAGCUCCUUCUUAGUCGUUCGCCUUCGGGGCCCCAGCGGCGGCGGUGAAGAGCCCGCCCUGUCCCAGUACCAGACGGAGUUUCGCUCUUGUUGCCCAGGCUGGAGUGCAGCGGCGCCAUCUCGGCUCACCGCAACCUCCGCCUUCCGGUUUCAAGCGAUUCUUCUGCCUCAGCCUCUCGAGUAGCUGGGAUUACGGAGAUUGCUUUGCAUAAAUCCACCCCUGUUUGAAAUCUAUCAAGUCUUGUUAAGCCCAACACAACAUCAUGUAGCACUUAUAGGAAUAAAAGGACUUAUGAUAUUAGAAUUACCUAAAAGAUGGGGGAAGA
Molecule: small RNA, 576 nt
Filed under: Pongo abelii (Sumatran orangutan)
Lineage: Eukaryota; Metazoa; Chordata; Mammalia; Primates; Hominidae
Description: processed transcript
Source: RNAcentral